UUGAUAGAGGCGCAAAAAUGAUCAGUACCGUUUGUAGGUUGCCAGAGCCAAAGAUCUUAUGGGAAAGGCAUUUUUGCCGAAGUAUAUUUUUUUGGCAAAAAAUAUGCUGGGCAUUUCGGAAACACCGGGAUGACUGUCGCGAGAGCGGAGUGCUAUCGU
RNAcentral lists this non-coding RNA (159 nucleotides) under human gut metagenome. Its description in RNAcentral is "Lysine riboswitch". It matches the Rfam family "Lysine riboswitch aptamer". From Rfam's summary of the family: Riboswitches are metabolite binding domains within certain messenger RNAs that serve as precision sensors for their corresponding targets. Allosteric rearrangement of mRNA structure is mediated by ligand binding, and this results in modulation of gene expression. The record is from RNAcentral.